RNAcentral lists this ribosomal RNA (483 nucleotides) under uncultured bacterium. RNAcentral describes it as "partial 16S ribosomal RNA". It matches the Rfam family "Bacterial small subunit ribosomal RNA", at positions 28 to 523 of the family's 1533-position model. The record is from RNAcentral.
GACGAACGCUGGCGGCGUGCUUAACACAUGCAAGUCGAACGAUGAUGCCCAGCUUGCUGGGUGGAUUAGUGGCGAACGGGUGAGUAACACGUGAGUAACCUGCCCCUGACUCUGGGAUAAGCGUUGGAAACGACGUCUAAUACUGGAUAUGACUACCGGCCGCAUGGUCUGGUGGUGGAAAGAUUUUUUGGUUGGGGAUGGACUCGCGGCCUAUCAGCUUGUUGGGGAGGUAAUGGCCCACCAAGGCGACGACGGGUAGCCGGCCUGAGAGGGUGACCGGCCACACUGGGACUGAGACACGGCCCAGACUCCUACGGGAGGCAGCAGUGGGGAAUAUUGCACAAUGGGCGAAAGCCUGAUGCAGCAACGCCGCGUGAGGGAUGACGGCCUUCGGGUUGUAAACCUCUUUUAGUAGGGAAGAAGCGAAAGUGACGGUACCUGCAGAAAAAGCACCGGCUAACUACGUGCCAGCCGCCGCGGUAA